Molecule: ribosomal RNA, 423 nt
Filed under: uncultured bacterium
Lineage: Bacteria
Description: bacterial SSU rRNA
Rfam family: Bacterial small subunit ribosomal RNA
Source: RNAcentral
UGAGGAAUAUUGGUCAAUGGGCGGGAGCCUGAACCAGCCAAGUCGCGUGAGGGAAGACGGUACUGAGUAUUGUAAACCUCUUUUGUCAGGGAGCAACGGCACCCACGAGUGGGUGUGUGAGCGUACCUGAAGAAAAAGCAUCGGCUAACUCCGUGCCAGCAGCCGCGGUAAUACGGAGGAUGCGAGCGUUAUCCGGAUUUAUUGGGUUUAAAGGGUGCGCAGGCGGUUCGUCAAGUCAGCGGUAAAAUGUCGGGGCUCAACCCCGGCCGGCCGUUGAAACUGGCGGACUAGAGUUGGAGAGAAGUAUGCGGAAUUCGUGGUGUAGCGGUGAAAUGCAUAGAUAUCACGAAGAACUCCGAUUGCGAAGGCAGCAUACCGGCUCCAUACUGACGCUCAGGCACGAAAGCGUGGGUAUCGAACAGG